This 492-nucleotide ribosomal RNA is filed under the name uncultured bacterium. RNAcentral describes it as "partial 16S ribosomal RNA". It matches the Rfam family "Bacterial small subunit ribosomal RNA", at positions 29 to 507 of the family's 1533-position model. The record is from RNAcentral.
AGUGAACGCUGGCGGUAGGCCUAACACAUGCAAGUCGAACGGCAGCACAGUAAGAGCUUGCUCUUACGGGUGGCGAGUGGCGGACGGGUGAGGAAUACAUCGGAAUCUACUUUUUCGUGGGGGAUAACGUAGGGAAACUUACGCUAAUACCGCAUACGAUCUACGGGUGAAAGCAGGGGAUCUUCGGACCUUGCGCGAUUGAAUGAGCCGAUGUCGGAUUAGCUAGUUGGCGGGGUAAAGGCCCACCAAGGCGACGAUCCGUAGCUGGUCUGAGAGGAUGAUCGGCCACACUGGAACUGAGACACGGUCCAGACUCCUACGGGAGGCAGCAGUGGGGAAUAUUAGGCAAUGGGCGCAAGCCUGAUCCAGCCAUACCGCGUGGGUGAAGAAGGCCUUCGGGUUGUAAAGCCCUUUUGUUGGGAAAGAAAAGCAGCAGGUUAAUACCCCGCUGUUCUGACGGUACCCAAAGAAUAAGCACCGGCUAACUUCGUG